CGUGUAUCUGCAGCAUCUUUGAUGGUCCUGUGUUCUACGGUGUACCACUUGAGACACAGGAUGCUUGGCAGAGCUUGCUGAGCCUGGAAUGAGGAGGGGUGUUAACAGUCCUCGCUGCACAUCCUAGCUAUUUCCUGAUGACUGACUAAUGCUGCUAGGAGAGAAUGUAGGAAAGAAGAGAGUUCUCCAAUUGACAGGAAGCAAAAAAGAAAUGAUUGUCAAGGGCUGGCAGUGCUUCUAGUUUAAAGACAGACACAAUUUAGAUACCAUUGAGAUCCCACUGCAGGAUGAAGCUUAAUGAGGUCUGUGUGGUCACAGAGGGAUAAAACACUGUGGGAUCAGAUGUGGCCCUGUGUUGUGCGUGAGAGCAAGACCUUUGAGCUAUACAAUUUAAAUGAAUUCUGCAGCAAGUUAAAGGUAUGA
RNAcentral lists this long non-coding RNA (423 nucleotides) under Numida meleagris (helmeted guineafowl). RNAcentral's name for it is "lncRNA (ENSNMEG00000014371.1)". The record is from RNAcentral. Lineage: Eukaryota; Metazoa; Chordata; Aves; Galliformes; Numididae.